RNAcentral lists this ribosomal RNA (253 nucleotides) under uncultured bacterium. Its description in RNAcentral is "partial 16S ribosomal RNA". It matches the Rfam family "Bacterial small subunit ribosomal RNA", at positions 524 to 776 of the family's 1533-position model. The record is from RNAcentral.
GACGGAGGGUGCAAGCGUUGUUCGGAAUUACUGGGCGUAAAGCGCGGGCAGGUGGCCUUUUAAGUCCUUUGUGAAAUUCCGGAGCUCAACUCCGGAUGUGCAUAGGAUACUGGAAGGCUAGAGACUGGUAGAGGCGAGCGGAAUUCCUGGUGUAGCGGUGGAAUGCGUAGAUAUCAGGAAGAACACCGGUGGCGAAGGCGGCUCGCUGGGCCAGUUCUGACACUCAUACGCGAAAGCGUGGGGAGCAAACAGG